This 403-nucleotide ribosomal RNA is filed under the name uncultured bacterium. RNAcentral's name for it is "partial 16S ribosomal RNA". It matches the Rfam family "Bacterial small subunit ribosomal RNA", at positions 29 to 526 of the family's 1533-position model. The record is from RNAcentral.
AUUGAACGCUGGCGGCAGGCCUAACACAUGCAAGUCGAGCGAGCGGCGGACGGGUGAGUAAUGUAUGGGGACUGCCCGAUAGAGGGGGAUAACUACUGGAAACGGUGGCUAAUACCGCAUACUAUCCGAUAACCCCUAUGGGAUUAUCUAGUAGGUGGGGUAAAGGCUCACCUAGGCGACGAUCCCUAGCUGGUCUGAGAGGAUGAUCAGCCACACUGGAACUGAGAAACGGCCCAGAGUCCGACGGGGGCAGCAGUGGGGAAUAUUGGACAAUGGGCGCAGGCCUGAUGCAGACAUGACGAGGGUAUGAAGAAGGCCUUAGGGUUGUAAAGUAAUUGCAGCGGGGAGGAGUUACCCGCAGAAGAAGCACCGGCUAACUCCGUGCCAGCAGCCGCGGUAAUAC